GAUGAUGUAGCUCAGAGGUACAGCACCUCCCUAGUAAGUGAGGACCUGGAUUCAAUCCCUAGCACCACCA
RNAcentral lists this transfer RNA (70 nucleotides) under Marmota monax (woodchuck). RNAcentral's name for it is "tRNA.Thr". The record is from RNAcentral. Lineage: Eukaryota; Metazoa; Chordata; Mammalia; Rodentia; Sciuridae.